Molecule: long non-coding RNA, 332 nt
Organism: Mercenaria mercenaria
Lineage: Eukaryota; Metazoa; Mollusca; Bivalvia; Venerida; Veneridae
Exons: 3
Source: RefSeq, a predicted model, not a curated record
AUUUUUGAAAUUAAGAAAUCCGUGAUUUUACUUGCAGGCAUGACUGAUAAAUGGAAUUAUUUUACUUUUAUAUAGAAUAUGGACGGCACUCCAGUACAGCAUGUGCAUGGUUGGACCUGUUGACAUUUUUAGAAACGCAUCUUGGUCUAUUAUACAGAGUAUUGUUGUACUGCUCCAAAGUGCUUGUUGACAGACUGAAACCACUUGCUUGCAGCUCAUAAGGUUUACUUCUUGAGAGCAGGCAGCUACAAAAUGGAAGGUCGACAAAUCCAGUAUACUUGAAAAGCAAGAAAGAAACACCAAAAAAUAUGAAAAGACAGAAAUACAAGUGA